RNAcentral lists this ribosomal RNA (497 nucleotides) under uncultured bacterium. RNAcentral's name for it is "partial 16S ribosomal RNA". It matches the Rfam family "Bacterial small subunit ribosomal RNA", at positions 28 to 507 of the family's 1533-position model. The record is from RNAcentral.
GAUGAACGCUGGCGGCGUGCCUAAUACAUGCAAGUCGAGCGAACAGACGAGGAGCUUGCUCCUUCGACGUUAGCGGCGGACGGGUGAGUAACACGUAGGUAACCUACCUAUAAGACUGGGAUAACUUCGGGAAACCGGAGCUAAUACCGGAUAAUAUUUCGAACCGCAUGGUUCGAUAGUGAAAGAUGGCUUUGCUAACACUUCUAGAUGGACCUGCGCGGUAUUAGCUAGUUGGUAAGGUAACGGCUUACCAAGGCAACGAUACGUAGGCGACCUGGGAGGCUGAUCGGCCGCAUGGGAAGUGAGACACGGUCCAUACUCCUGCGGGAGGCAGCAGUAUGGAAUCGUCCGCAAUAGGCGAAAGCCUGACGGAGCAGCGCCGCGUGAGUGAUGAAGGUCUUCGGAGCGGAAAACUGUGUUAUUAGUGAAGAACAAACGUGUAAGUAACUGUGCACGUCUUGACGGUACCUAAUCAGAAAGCCACGGCUAACUACGUG